Molecule: ribosomal RNA, 255 nt
Filed under: uncultured bacterium
Lineage: Bacteria
Description: partial 16S ribosomal RNA
Rfam family: Bacterial small subunit ribosomal RNA
Source: RNAcentral
CAAACCAAAGCUGGCGACCGGCGCACGGGUGAGUAACACGUAUCCAACCUGCCGAUAACUCAGGGAUAGCCUUUCGAAAGAAAGAUUAAUACCCGAUGGUAUAAUAAAACCGCAUGGUUUAAUUAUUAAAGAAUUUCGGUUAUCGAUGGGGAUGCGUUCCAUUAGGCAGUUGGUGAGGUAACGGCUCACCAAACCUUCGAUGGAUAGGGGUUCUGAGAGGAAGGUCCCCCACAUUGGAACUGAGACACGGUCCAA